GUGCAAAUCACCUAGGGAUCUUGUUAAAAUGCCGAUUCUGACUAAGUAGGUCUGCAGUGGGGCCUAAGAUUAUGUUUUCUAAUAAGCUUCCAGGUGAUGCCAAU
This 104-nucleotide microRNA precursor is filed under the name Marmota monax (woodchuck). The record is from RNAcentral. Lineage: Eukaryota; Metazoa; Chordata; Mammalia; Rodentia; Sciuridae.